RNAcentral lists this ribosomal RNA (504 nucleotides) under uncultured bacterium. Its description in RNAcentral is "bacterial SSU rRNA". It matches the Rfam family "Bacterial small subunit ribosomal RNA", at positions 9 to 526 of the family's 1533-position model. The record is from RNAcentral.
GAGUUUGAUCCUGGCUCAGGACGAACGCUGGCGGCGCGCCUAACACAUGCAAGUCGAACGAGCGAGAGAGAGCUUGCUUUCUCGAGCGAGUGGCGAACGGGUGAGUAACGCGUGAGGAACCUGCCUCAAAGAGGGGGACAACAGUUGGAAACGACUGCUAAUACCGCAUAAGCCCACGGGUCGGCAUCGACCAGAGGGAAAAGGAGCAAUCCGCUUUGAGAUGGCCUCGCGUCCGAUUAGCUAGUUGGUGAGGUAACGGCCCACCAAGGCGACGAUCGGUAGCCGGACUGAGAGGUUGAACGGCCACAUUGGGACUGAGACACGGCCCAGACUCCUACGGGAGGCAGCAGUGGGGAAUAUUGCACAAUGGGGGAAACCCUGAUGCAGCGACGCCGCGUGGAGGAAGAAGGUCUUCGGAUUGUAAACUCCUGUUGUUGGGGAAGAUAAUGACGGUACCCAACAAGGAAGUGACGGCUAACUACGUGCCAGCAGCCGCGGUAAUUC